RNAcentral lists this ribosomal RNA (260 nucleotides) under uncultured bacterium. Its description in RNAcentral is "partial 16S ribosomal RNA". It matches the Rfam family "Bacterial small subunit ribosomal RNA", at positions 793 to 1055 of the family's 1533-position model. The record is from RNAcentral.
GUCCACGCCCUAACGAUGUCAACUAGUUGUCGGGAAGCAAUUCCUUGGUAACGCAGCUAACGCGUGAAGUUGACCGCCUGGGGAGUACGGUCGCAAGAUUAAAACUCAAAGGAAUUGACGGGACCCGCACAAGCGGUGGAUGAUGUGGAUUAAUUCGAUGCAACGCGAAAACCUUACCUACCCUUGACAUGUCCAGAACCUCGAUGAAAGUUGAGGGUGCCCGAAAGGGAAUUGGAACACAGGUGCUGCAUGGCUGUCGU